GCCUCGAUGGUGUAGUUGGCUAUCACGUGGGUCUCAUAGGAAAGGGUCACGUGACUCGAAACAUGAGGGCGCUUUGCGCUUGCAAUCCCGAGGUCGAGAGUUCGAUCCUCUCUCGGGGCA
RNAcentral lists this transfer RNA (120 nucleotides) under Rhodotorula toruloides. Its description in RNAcentral is "tRNA-Met". It matches the Rfam family "tRNA". From Rfam's summary of the family: Transfer RNA (tRNA) molecules are approximately 80 nucleotides in length. The record is from RNAcentral. Lineage: Eukaryota; Fungi; Basidiomycota; Microbotryomycetes; Sporidiobolales; Sporidiobolaceae.